UAGGGAAUCUUCGGCAAUGGACGAAAGUCUGACCGAGCAACGCCGCGUGAGUGAAGAAGGUUUUCGGAUCGUAAAACUCUGUUGUUAGAGAAGAACGUUGCAUAGAGUGGAAAAUUAUGCAAGUGACGGUAUCUAACCAGAAAGGGACGGCUAACUACGUGCCAGCAGCCGCGGUAAUACGUAGGUCCCGAGCGUUGUCCGGAUUUAUUGGGCGUAAAGCGAGCGCAGGUGGUUUAAUAAGUCUGAUGUAAAAAGGCAGUGGCUCAACCAUUGUGUGCAUUGGAAACUGUUAGACUUGAGUGCAGUAGAGGAGAGUGGAAUUCCAUGUGUAGCGGUGAAAUGCGUAGAUAUAUGGAGGAACACCGGUGGCGAAAGCGGCUCUCUGGACUGUCACUGACACUGAGGCUCGAAAGCAUGGGUAGCGAACAGGAUUAGAUACCCUGGUAGUCCAUGCCGUAAACGAUGAAUGCUAGGUGUUGGGGACUUUCCGGUGCCUCAGUGCCGCAGCAAAUCG
This 514-nucleotide ribosomal RNA is filed under the name uncultured bacterium. RNAcentral describes it as "partial 16S ribosomal RNA". It matches the Rfam family "Bacterial small subunit ribosomal RNA", at positions 355 to 857 of the family's 1533-position model. The record is from RNAcentral.